Molecule: ribosomal RNA, 253 nt
Filed under: uncultured bacterium
Lineage: Bacteria
Description: partial 16S ribosomal RNA
Rfam family: Bacterial small subunit ribosomal RNA
Source: RNAcentral
UACGUGGGGUGCAAGCGUUGUCCGGAAUUAUUGGGCGUAAAGGGCUCGUAGGCGGUUUGUCGCGUUGUCUGUGAAAACUCGGGGCUCAACCCCGAGCCUGCAGUCGAUACGGGCAAACUAGAGUGUGGUAGGGGAGACUGGAAUUCCUGGUGUAGCGGUGAAAUGCGCAGAUAUCAGGAGGAACACCGGUGGCGAAGGCGGUUCUCUGGGCCUGUACUGACGCUGAGGAGCGAAAGCGUGGGGAGCGAACAGG